RNAcentral lists this transfer RNA (78 nucleotides) under Ipomoea nil (Japanese morning glory). It matches the Rfam family "tRNA". Rfam says of the family: Transfer RNA (tRNA) molecules are approximately 80 nucleotides in length. Their secondary structure includes four short double-helical elements and three loops (D, anti-codon, and T loops). Lineage: Eukaryota; Viridiplantae; Streptophyta; Magnoliopsida; Solanales; Convolvulaceae. The record is from Rfam by way of RNAcentral.
GGGGGUGUAGCUCAUAUGGGAGAGCGCUCGCUUUGUAUGCGAGAGGUGCGGGGAAGGGUUCAAUUCCCUGCACCUCCA